RNAcentral lists this non-coding RNA (30 nucleotides) under Homo sapiens (human). The record is from RNAcentral. Lineage: Eukaryota; Metazoa; Chordata; Mammalia; Primates; Hominidae.
AGUCACUGGUGGAAAUAUUUUCCUCCUUUU